ACAGCCAACUUUCUCAUUUUGCCGCUUCUUCUCACUCUGAUUCUUUUUAACUCAGACUUCUCUCUCUCUCUCUCUCUCUCUCAUAUACAUACACUCAAACACAAAGUGAAGAGCUUUCUGUUAAUCUGUUGUUACUAGGAGAAAUACACGAAGAUGACAACGGACACUGAUGAACCGUUGGACUUCGAGUACGAAGACCCCCCAGCCAUUUCAAAUAAAAAGAAAAAGGUUAUAGGUUUAGAUGACCUGUUAAAUGACUUCCACAAGGAGAAUAAGAAGGUUACUAAACGUUCAAAGGUCCAAAAGGCCUAUGAUUCCGAUGAUGACAUUGAUGCCAGAGAAGCUACAUUUCAUAACUGUGUUAAUGAGUUCCAAGCAAAGAUGAAUCAAAUAAAGGCCGAUGAUGAAAUGCCUUUGUGGGGUCUUCAAGUUUUUGGAUAUCAGAAAACUUUGCCAAAACUGGAUUUUCCUGAGCUAAAGAGGUGCAGGUUUCUGCAAUCUUUCCUGAAAAACGAGCUUAAUUCAUUGGUAGAACUCAAAACAGAUGAAGGACAGAGUUUCCUUCAGGGGUUGCUCAAAGAUGGAUGGCUUUUGAAAUUAAUCAGCUCUCAUGGUCAACUUGAAAGAUCCAUUGCAAAAUGGAGUUUUAAUAUGUUGCUAUAUUCACCACAACAACAGUUAGGAGCUGCCGCAUGCAGCUUUUGGUGUCGCAUUCUCUUGUCUAAAACUGAGAUUGACCUACAACACUUUGAAAUUGAAUGGUUACCAGACUAUUCAGAACUAAUAAGAGCCCUUGAUGUAUAUGGCUUUCUAUUGGAUGCACCUUCAAAGUCAUCAUCAUCCAUGGAACUUGACCAUUUAGAUUCUGAUUCUUCUGGUCCACCACAAAAUAUAAGGUCUUGGAUAAAGUUUGUUUCUGUUAUUUGCAAAGUAAGGAACAUAUGUUCAGUCUUCUCAACUGAAGAGGUAGAAGACCUGAUAGUAGUGAUGAUCUGUAUGUUUAUGGAUCGGCAACUUCUAGGCCUCUCCCUAAUCUUGGAUGAGUGUCUUCACUCGCUUAUUAGCUUUUUUAGUGACAGUGAAUUUGAUGUCAGCUGUGUCAAAAUAGCUAAGUCCCUUGCCUGCAGACUGGCUACUGAUAUCUCUUGCUUGAGAGCUGUGGAUAGCAUUUCAGUGCUUGAUGCUCGUAGUAAGCGUUUAAAAAGUGCAGUAGCCUUUGAGUUUCUUGUAGCAUGUUUUGAUAGUAAGGUAUCUGAUGCAGAAGGGAUCUUAAAGUCUAUAAUUGCUAUUAAUCUGAGAGAUGAGAGCUUUGAUCUUCAGAAAAUGUAUAUAUACCUGAUAUUGGUAGAAAACUGGCUUUUCUGUGACCCAAUGCUAAAAGACAAUCCCGAACUAAUUGAGAUGUGGGCAGUAUGUCUGCGGAACUGCACCUGCCAAAUCAGCAGCACAGAUUUGAGGUCUUAUGCUUUAAAGGUAGAUCGCUAAGGCUCCCUUUUCUUGAAUUUUUGGAUUGGCUGAUGACACGGGGUGCUUCAAUUUUGCAGGUUUCUUGAAUCUGGGAAUUGAAUGCCAUUUAGCAGAAUGAAAGGGAACAAAAUGGCAAAACGGUCGUCUUUUGGAAGCAUUGUGAGGAAGAGGCUCUCAGACGUCACAAACUCUCUGCCGCAACCCAAAUCCCCUAUCCAUCUCCAAAAUGAUGCUUCUUCGGCUAAGGACUACAUCGAUUAUCUUGUAAAGG
This is an RNA transcript of Ipomoea triloba (trilobed morning glory), 1738 nucleotides long. RefSeq lists it as uncharacterized. The transcript is spliced from 12 exons. NCBI's taxonomy places the organism in Eukaryota, Viridiplantae, Streptophyta, Magnoliopsida, Solanales, Convolvulaceae. The record is from RefSeq and is a predicted model, not a curated record.